AUACGCGGUUUUAUAGGAAUACAAAGUUCUCUUGCGGAAAAGAGAAAAUGUAAAUAUAACAUUUAAGAAAAUUUGCUUUGUUUCCCCCCAAACUUUAAUUUCAAACAACCCUGAAACGCUUCUUAGAAAAAGCGAAGAACAAUGGCGGAUUUGAGAGAGUACUAUCAAAACGAAGACGAAGAGGAUUCGUUCAUUGAUAUGUUGCACGCUUUGUACUCCAUUUAACUUACUUAUAUUAAAUUAAAUAUAAAUUCCUAAUUACUUUUAAAUCCAUAGGUGCUUACAAAACCAGUGGCCGCGACAGUCUGGUGUUUCUGGUUGAUGGAUCCAAAGAAAUGUUCAUCAAAAGAGCAAGAACCCAAGAAACUUCUUCAAGCAUGUCUACAUCUACCACGCCUACCUGCUUCACCUGGAGCCAAGCAAGAAAGUAGCUCAGUUGGCUGAAAAGACCAUGGGCAGUGGGGAUGUCCAAAUACUCACACUUGAGAGCGUGCGCACAUGACAGGAAGUAAUUGCCCAAGACUGUCCCAGAUCUUAAAAAUGGCAAAACGCAGUACCCUUAAUGCACACUAAAUCCACAUUAUCUCGAAUACCGCUCCAGAGCGCUAUUCAAGGCUUAGUGUAUCCCAUCAUGCAUCAUGUUAAUGGAAAUAAAUCGUGAGACUUUUUACAGAUCUCUUGAGAGGUCACGGAAACCUUUGUAAAGUAUGUGAAAUAUUAAUAAUAAUCAGAAUCAGAAUCAGAAUGAGCUUUAUUGCCAGGUAUGUUUACACAUACGAGGAAUUUGUUUUCGUGACAGAAGCUCCGCAGUACAACAGAAUGACAGCGACAGAACAUAAAACACAUAAUAAAAGAAUAAAAAAUACAAAUAAGUAGAUAGUGAAUGACAAUAUACAAAUGACAAUUGUAGGCAGGUAUAUUACAAAAUGAAGUUAUGUAUGUACAUAUAUAUUGUGUGCAAAAUUUAAGUGUAUACUAAGUAUGUGUGUUAGAUAAAUAAAGUGUGUGUGUAUAUAAAUUAGAUAUUUUAUAUGAUUUGGUAGAAAAACAGUGUUUUUAUUUUUUAUUGGUGCAGAGAUGAGUAGUGGUGAUAUUUAUUUUGUACAACAUUUUUAACCUUAUUUUAUCACUUAAUUAGAAGCACCACAUGUUAAAAUUGUCAUGUUAUAGGGACUACUGAACAGACAUUUAGAAGUUGAUUUUAAAAUGCAAAGUAUUUAAAAUUUGUAUUAAAUUAAACCUAUUUAAACACUUGUGUCCCAUCAGGUAAUGAAAAGUUUGACACACACUUGUGGUCUUCAUGUGGUCUGGUUCUUUUAAAAGAGGACUCAAGUGUGAAAAGACCCUAAUUUAGGAGCUAAGACCUAGUCCUUACACUUAUGUUAUGAAUCACACUUAUUCCUAAGUGUAGAAAUAAAAGCAAGACGACAUCA
Molecule: long non-coding RNA, 1433 nt
Organism: Carassius gibelio (silver crucian carp)
Lineage: Eukaryota; Metazoa; Chordata; Actinopteri; Cypriniformes; Cyprinidae
Exons: 3
Source: RefSeq, a predicted model, not a curated record